RNAcentral lists this ribosomal RNA (439 nucleotides) under uncultured bacterium. RNAcentral describes it as "partial 16S ribosomal RNA". It matches the Rfam family "Bacterial small subunit ribosomal RNA", at positions 339 to 795 of the family's 1533-position model. The record is from RNAcentral.
CUACGGGCGGCAGCAGUGGGGAAUAUUGCACAAUGGAGGAAACUCUGAUGCAGCAACGCCGCGUGGAGGAUGACACUUUUCGGAGCGUAAACUCCUUUUAUAUAGGAAGAUAAUGACGGUACUAUAUGAAUAAGCACCGGCUAACUCCGUGCCAGCAGCCGCGGUAAUACGGAGGGUGCAAGCGUUACUCGGAAUCACUGGGCGUAAAGAGCGUGUAGGCGGGUUAAUAAGUCAGAAGUGAAAUCCUAUGGCUCAACCAUAGAACUGCUUUUGAAACUGUUAACCUAGAGUGUGUGAGAGGUAGAUGGAAUUUCUGGUGUAGGGGUAAAAUCCGUAGAGAUCAGAAGGAAUACCGAUUGCGAAGGCGAUCUACUGGAACAUAACUGACGCUGAGACGCGAAAGCGUGGGGAGCAAACAGGAUUAGAUACCCCGGUAGUC